AUGAAGAUAUUCUGUUGGAACUGCCGCGGGAUUGGCGACCCUGCGACGGUUCGGGAGCUCCGCGAUCUCGUGGAGGCAUGUGUGCCAAUGGUUCUUUGUAUUGUGGAGACACAGCUUGCGAAGUACCGGGUGGAAGGAUUGGCGGGUACUUUAGGUUUUUCAGGUCGUUUUGGAGUAGACAAUAGUGGUAGGAGUGGAGGUUUAUGCGUGUUUUGGAAAUAUUGA
This 225-nucleotide ribosomal RNA is filed under the name Triticum aestivum (bread wheat). Its description in RNAcentral is "partial small subunit ribosomal RNA". Lineage: Eukaryota; Viridiplantae; Streptophyta; Magnoliopsida; Poales; Poaceae. The record is from RNAcentral.